GCGGGCGUGGCGGAACCGGUAGACGCAAGCGACUUAAAAUCGCUUGGGCAAUGCCCGUGGGGGUUCGAGUCCCCCCGCCCGCACCA
This 86-nucleotide transfer RNA is filed under the name Rhodovibrio salinarum. RNAcentral's name for it is "tRNA-Leu". It matches the Rfam family "tRNA". Rfam says of the family: Transfer RNA (tRNA) molecules are approximately 80 nucleotides in length. Their secondary structure includes four short double-helical elements and three loops (D, anti-codon, and T loops). Further hydrogen bonds mediate the characteristic L-shaped molecular structure. tRNAs have two regions of fundamental functional importance: the anti-codon, which is responsible for specific mRNA codon recognition, and the 3' end, to which the tRNAs corresponding amino acid is attached (by aminoacyl-tRNA synthetases). tRNAs cope with the degeneracy of the genetic code in two manners: having more than one tRNA (with a specific anti-codon) for a particular amino acid; and 'wobble' base-pairing, i.e. permitting non-standard base-pairing at the 3rd anti-codon position. The record is from RNAcentral. Lineage: Bacteria; Pseudomonadati; Pseudomonadota; Alphaproteobacteria; Rhodospirillales; Rhodovibrionaceae.